This is a long non-coding RNA of Pogoniulus pusillus (Red-fronted tinkerbird), 507 nucleotides long. RefSeq lists it as uncharacterized. The record is from RefSeq and is a predicted model, not a curated record. The transcript is spliced from 2 exons. NCBI's taxonomy places the organism in Eukaryota, Metazoa, Chordata, Aves, Piciformes, Lybiidae.
UCCUUGCCCAACUCCAGCUCAGGCAAAGAAGUUUUAAGAACCAGAGCAUCAAUCUCCUAGACUGGUCACUGCAUGAUUCCUUUGCUUCCUGAUGGUCUCUGAAGCAAGAAUAACUUGUCAGAGCAGCUACACAAAACAAGCCCUGCUGAUUAAAGUUGUCAGAGAAAUGCUAGCUCUAGAGAGUGGUACCAUGAGAUGAAAUGCUGUCAGCCUAAUACUGGGAGAUCAGGAUACAACCCGAGCUGUAAACCAAUGGACUGAGUCACACGAAUCUAAGUCCUGCAAGAGCUGCUUGUUACUUGCUCACCUCAGCUGAUUUGGAUUCCCUUGCCUCAGUGAUGCUGCUUCCAAGUUUUUCACUGGACACUCCACAAGAAUGAGAUUAAAAUCAUCAUAUUUUAUUUUAGUCUUCCACUGUGCCUCAUUUACUUUCACACACAGAGGAAUCCACCACACUUCCCUGUCUUCCCUCAUUUUCACUUCUUAAUAAAACGGAUAAUGGAAUAA